CUUGAUCGAACCCAGCCACAGCGGGCUGCCUGACCGAUCCUGACCAUAAGUGGCCAGCAGCGCCUGUGCUUC
This 72-nucleotide antisense RNA is filed under the name Actinoplanes derwentensis. RNAcentral describes it as "ASpks TB sRNA". It matches the Rfam family "ASpks TB sRNA". Lineage: Bacteria; Bacillati; Actinomycetota; Actinomycetes; Micromonosporales; Micromonosporaceae. The record is from Rfam by way of RNAcentral.